GGACUCCUUGGGGUUUUUUUGCUGUUUUGGGGUUUUUAGCAGUGCCAUGCUCUCCCUGCUCUGUUUCCUGAGGACUCCUUGGGGUUUUUUGCUGUUUUGGGUGUUUUGGCAGCGCCAGGCUCACUCCUGGCUGUGUUUUCUCACGAUUCCUUGGGGUUUUUUGCUGUUUUUGGGUAUUUUGGCAGCGCCAUGCUCCCCCUGCUCUGUUUCCUCAGGACUCCUUGGGGUUGUUUUGCUGUUUUGGGUAUUUUGCCAGCACCAGGCUCACCCCAGCUCUGUUUCCUGAGGACUGCUUGGGGUUGUUUUGCUGUUUUUGGGUAUUUUAGCAGNUCCUUACGGUGAAUUUGCCUUUCUCCGCUGCAGGCGCUCGCUCCCCGGUGGAUCAGGAGGCGCUGCCCCGGUGACCGGAGGUGGGGAUGGGCCGGCGCUCCUCGGACACGGAGGAGGAGGGCAGGAGCCGCAGGAAGAAGAAGCACCGGCGGCGCUCCUCCUCCAGCAGCUCCUCGGACAGCCGCGCCUACAGCCGCAAAAAGUCGGGCCGCAAAUCCAGGUCCAGGUCGCGCUCCCGGGAUCUCCCGUCCUGGUCCCACUCCUAUGAGAAAAGGCGCAGGCACAGAUCCAGCAGCAGCUCCUCCUACGGCUCCAGGAGGAAGCGCAGCCGCUCCCGGGGCAGAGGCAAAUCCUACAGAUCCCAAAGGUCCAGGUCAAAGAGCAGGACCAGGAGUGACUUUUUCAAGAGGAUUGAUCAGUUUGUGUCCGUGGCUGUGCAGGAGAGGCCCGGAGGUGGAGCAGGAGCAGAGAGGAUAUCCUGGAGCAGCAGCACUGCUGAGCUCAUUGCCCACCCUUAAUUGACCACUUUGGGAAAUUAAACUUCACAAGGCAACGCCGAGGGCCCUCCAGUUAUCAAUGAAGGCACAGAGCUGCGAGUGACAGCUGCUUUGAUGCUUUCCAUUGGUAUAAAACCAGGAAAAG
Molecule: long non-coding RNA, 972 nt
Filed under: Zonotrichia albicollis (white-throated sparrow)
Lineage: Eukaryota; Metazoa; Chordata; Aves; Passeriformes; Passerellidae
Description: lncRNA (ENSZALG00000012103.1)
Source: RNAcentral